This 21-nucleotide non-coding RNA is filed under the name Caenorhabditis elegans. Lineage: Eukaryota; Metazoa; Nematoda; Chromadorea; Rhabditida; Rhabditidae. The record is from RNAcentral.
UCAAUUGUAUUCAAUUACGUA